This 118-nucleotide ribosomal RNA is filed under the name Pogona vitticeps (central bearded dragon). The record is from RNAcentral. Lineage: Eukaryota; Metazoa; Chordata; Lepidosauria; Squamata; Agamidae.
GGUAUAUUCAUACUACCCUGAACAUACUUGAUCUCGUCUGAUUUUGGAAACUAAGCAGGAUCAGCCCUGUUUAAUACUGGGAUGCGAAACCACAAGGAAACACCAGCUAGUGGUACAA